AUUGAACGCUGGCGGCAUGCCUUACACAUGCAAGUAGAACGGUAACAGGUCUUCGGAUGCUGACGAGUGGCGAACGGGUGAGUAAUACAUCGGAACGUGCCCGAUCGUGGGGGAUAACGAGGCGAAAGCUUUGCUAAUACCGCAUACGAUCUACGGAUGAAAGCGGGGGAUCUUCGGACCUCGCGCGGACGGAGCGGCCGAUGGCAGAUUAGGUAGUUGGUGGGAUAAAAGCUUACCAAGCCGACGAUCUGUAGCUGGUCUGAGAGGAUGAUCAGCCACACUGGGACUGAGACACGGCCCAGACUCCUACGGGAGGCAGCAGUGGGGAAUUUUGGACAAUGGGCGAAAGCCUGAUCCAGCCAUGCCGCGUGCAGGAUGAAGGCCUUUGGGUUGUAAACUGCUUUUGUACGGAACGAAAAGCCUCUUUCUAAUAAAGAGGGGUCAUGACGGUACCGUAAGAAUAAGCACCGGCUAACUACGUG
RNAcentral lists this ribosomal RNA (482 nucleotides) under uncultured bacterium. RNAcentral's name for it is "partial 16S ribosomal RNA". It matches the Rfam family "Bacterial small subunit ribosomal RNA", at positions 30 to 507 of the family's 1533-position model. The record is from RNAcentral.